This 351-nucleotide ribosomal RNA is filed under the name Triticum aestivum (bread wheat). Its description in RNAcentral is "partial small subunit ribosomal RNA". The record is from RNAcentral. Lineage: Eukaryota; Viridiplantae; Streptophyta; Magnoliopsida; Poales; Poaceae.
AUGCACGACGCACGCAUGCAUGCAGCUACUGCAGUGCACAUAAGCAUCUCAGUUGUCGUUGGUACAUGUGUCAUUGCAGUGCUGAUAACCAGCAACGCUACAGUUUUUGCAGCUCACGUUGUUGGUUACUGGAUGUUCCUAAUCCUACAUGUAGCUGGUUGUUGCUCUUUUUCUCUGAGCAUAUCCCUAUGGAUGGGUGUAACAGAUUUACUACUCUGCAGUAGUGAAAUAACCUCACACUUUCUUAGUCUCUCAUCUUAUCUGCAGGAGAAGGAAGAAGUUAUCAAGCCGUGGGACUCGGUCAGCCUUGCACAAAGAGAGGAUCAUGCUACUGGAGUUGUCAAGUAUUGA